Molecule: ribosomal RNA, 279 nt
Filed under: uncultured bacterium
Lineage: Bacteria
Description: partial 16S ribosomal RNA
Rfam family: Bacterial small subunit ribosomal RNA
Source: RNAcentral
UGCCAUCAGCCGCGGUAAUACGAAGGGGGCGAGCGUUGUUCGGAAUUACUGGGCGUAAAGGGCGCGUAGGCGGUCUUUUAAGUUAAGCGUGAAAGCCCCGGGCUCAACCCGGGAACUGCGCUUAAGACUGGAAGACUAGAAAACGGAAGAGGGUAGUGGAAUUCCCAGUGUAGAGGUGAAAUUCGUAGAUAUUGGAAAGAAUACCAGUGGCGAAGGCGACUAACUGGGCCAUCUUUGACGCUGAGAUACGAAAGCGUGGGUAGCAAACAGGAUUAGAUA